Molecule: non-coding RNA, 43309 nt
Organism: Rattus norvegicus (Norway rat)
Lineage: Eukaryota; Metazoa; Chordata; Mammalia; Rodentia; Muridae
Source: RefSeq, a predicted model, not a curated record
AUCCUGCUGCUGUCCCAAGCUGGUGCUGGCUGCCCUGCCCUUUCCUGGCUGGGUGCAGACAUGCUGGCCUCUGUGCUCUCAGGGCAGGCGCCAGGGCGGAGCAUGAAGGGACCUCUUGGAUGCCUCCUCCCUCAGAAACAAAUUCCAGUGCCUGAAUGCAGAUGGCGUUCAUCUUAAUGAAGGACAGCACCUAGUCAGCCUCAGGAAAAAGAUCUUGUUUUUUCAUAUCAGAAGGUAAGGGAGGACAGGCCUGUUACUUAGAUGGGGAAAUGGCCCAACAGGUGAGAACUCUGGGAGCAACAAGAUUUGUCUACAAUGCCUGUGGUGCUUCCCUUUCUAGCUAGUGGCCGAUGCUCCGGUUCCUACCAUCAGGAGGGUUGUCUAUGGUAAUAGCCCUGAAAAGGAGACUCUGGGCUAUCUCCCCCACCCCCUGAAACUGCGAAUUUAUUGACUGCCCUUAAAGGCUACAUGGCAAAACAUUUUUUAAAGUUAGAAUUUGAUAGGAAAACAGUUAUCAGCAGGCUGUUUAAAAGGUGCCUUUCCAGCAUUCCAGCAGAGAUUAGGUUUCCCAAAAGCUGACUACGAUCUUUAGCAUAUUUGAGCAAAGAUUUGUUGACUAGUCAAAGCUCAUCGUGAAGGGGCUAGAGAUGCUGGUGAAAUGGAGCUUGUCCUCAGAGUGUCCCUGAAGUGAUUCCAAGCCAGGCUGGGGGAGAGCAGCAAACAAAUGCUCUCAACGAAUAAAUGUUGGCCAGCUACCAUGGCUCACGCAUGUCAUCCCAAGGCUGGACGGGGCUACAUAGUGAGGCCAAUCUCAAACAACAAUAACAAAAUCAAAUUAUAAAUCUACCGAAGGGGAAAACAGAGACAGCGAGAGCUGAAAGGAAUCCAGGCUGAACAUGGAGAGCUUGGGCUGGGGCUGAGCCUCCAUCAAUGAGUGAGUAAACGUUGAUGAGCUAAACUGAAGGAGGGGUUGGGGAGUUCUGGGUCCAGGCAAACAUGGGUACCUGUUGAUUGACAUGUGGAAGAGUAUGUGUCUGUGAGCAAAGAGAAAAGGAACUGGUUAGGGCCUGUGGGUGUGUCUCAACUGGUAGAGAUCCAGUGGUUGCCUGGUAUGCACAAGUCUCUGGGGUCCGAGCCCUAGUGUAUACCACUAACUUUUCCAAGUUCCUUCCUUUCUCUUCUCUCUCUCAGACCCCUUCUCCCCACCAUCUUCCUUGGAACCAAGGAUCAAACCCUGAACCUCACAGAAGCUACGUUGGGCUUUGUGCCCAGUUCUCUUCUUGACAAUUAAUAAUUUAUUGCUUAUUCUUCUCCACACUUCAACCUUUUAUUGUUCAAGUACCGGGCUGGGCUAUUUGAAUGCAGCAUUGCCCAGUUUAUGUAUUUUUUUGGGUUAAUAGUGAUUGCCCCCACACCCCAACAUGGGUGAGAGACUACAAAGCUCUUCUUAGCUGCGGGAAGCCCCAUCUUUGACACUCUUCCUCCUAGGUUUCAAGGGGAUGUGGAAGGGGGUCUUUAUCUUGCAGGUACAAGCAGAGCCAGUACUGGGAAACUUUGUCUUAAAUUUAUUCCAAGAUUCUCUUUUUCACUGAGUUUGGUGCUGAGUAAAUUAAACCUACAUUUCAGUUGACACGGCCUUAUUGGAUGCUCAACAUGACGAGCCCUAGCCUCUCGUUCUUGGGGUUCUAGUAGAGAGGAAUGUAGAUUGAGUUCCUGCCCUCAAAGAAUGGAAGAUUAUGACUGGGAAUUAAGAGUGAGGUGGGCUCAUGUACGUAGCAGGGAGUUACAGCAAGAGGUGCCAAGAGCCGUGACAAGCAUUAUUCUCGACAGCAAAUAAUAGGAUUGUAAUCCUCGCCUGGGUGUUAGAUAAGGCCUCUCCACAGGAAGUGAUAUUUAAGCUGAAAGUGGAGAAGUCAUAUAUGUGAGCCAAAUCGACAGAAGGAAGAAGGGGAAUGUUCCAGGCAGAGGGAUAGCAUGAGGUAAGGAGCUCCCAAGUGUCUGGUUGAAGGGAUUCAACACCGUUGGAGAACACGAUGGGGGAGGAGCAAGGCAAAGGGUAAGGGCGAGAAUAGGAAGGUGGAGGUUGACCUAAGGAAGGCCUUGGCCGACAGUGAAGCAGCUCUGCAGGUGGUUAUGACCGUGGAAGAUUCUAAAAUCCUUCUUGUACUUUUGAGAACAGCCCCUAGCUGAGAGGUAAUAAGAAUUUCUUAGAAUUGCAUUGGCUAGGGUCAGCAAGAUGGCUCAGUGGGUAAAAACAUACGCUGCUAAGCCUGAGGACGUGAGUUUGAUCACGUGGUGGAAGGAGAGAGUUGACACUCACAAGUUGUCCUCUGGUUCCACAUAGUCACCUUGGCAUGUGCUCAUAUGUAAGAACGUGCCCAUACAUAGGCACUUCUCUCCCUCCCCCAAGCCCCCCCCCACAUUUUGGCUAUAAACUGACAGUUUACUUUGUACUUGGAUAUCAAAAUCAGACCAGGCCACAGGGCAUAAGUGUCUGUGAAUAAGUUCAAGAAAUAUCAGAUAUGGGAAGGAAGGAGGGAAAAGAGACAUUAGUAAAAGGUGAGCUAGUAAGGUGGGUAACAACAGUUAGGGGGAAAUGUUUAGCACAGCAGUUCUCAACCGUCCUAGUGCCACGACCCUUUAAUACAGUUCCUCAUGUUGGAGUGACCUCCCAACCAUAAAAUUACUUUCUUUUUGCUCCUUCAUAACUGUAAUUUUGAUACAAUUAUGAACCAUUAUGUAAAUAUCUGAUACACGACAAGCAGGCUGAGAACUGCUGGUCUAGCAGGUCUCAGAGUUACCACACACAGGGUCUAGAAACUGGAGCUUCCGAUUCCUGUCAGGGUCAGGCUGAAAGCCACAUAGAGGUGGGACGUUCAGUUUCUGGAGCUUCUGGUGUGUCAAAUGAGAAUAUGCAUAACACGGCCAUCAGGCAUAGAGAAAAUGAGGGUGAGAGAAAUGUGAAUAGGCAGGUGUUUGGAAGACUGGUCAUGCACGAAAAUAGCUAGGGACAAGGGUCAGGCACAGAAAUAUCUGCUGCACAAUUUUGGGUCCAAGUAUGAGCUUUUGUGCCAUAAUAUACCAUACUGGCUCGUUUUUACCAAAAGAGAAGGACCCAAAUUUAAAGCUGGCCUGUGAAACAUAAUGAUACCCAUUUGUAAAAAAUCAAAACCAGCCAAUAAACCCGACAAAUAGAGGGGUGUGAUUGUUGGAUUCUGAGGUCUAGAAGACCAACAUGCAGACCAUUGCACUGUAGUACCCCAGAACCAUCUUGCAGUCUCUAGGGGAUCUGUUUCUGGUAUAAACGUAGCAAGAAGACACUACAGAGCCUUGAGCUGCGUGGCCCUGUGCUGGCCAACACUUGGACUCUGAGCAGACGCUUACCUCAAUACCAUGCAUAGAGCACUACUCAUUCUAGAAAUAACAGGUGCCCAUAUUUUUCUUUUCUCUUCACUUAGGAGGUACACCCAUAGUGCCAACAACUAAUUAUCAUACCAAGAAAACAAAAACUGUGAACUCGAGCGGGGCGGGCUGCAAACACCGUAGAGUUGUACAAACGGUGACUCACUCUCACUGGAGGCUGCCACAUCUUCAGAGCCUCUCUCUCUCUCUCUCUCUCUCUCUCUCUCUCUCUCUCUCUCUCUCUCUGAGAACACCCAGAAUCCUUUGUCAAAGAAAGGUAGACAGCAUACCUUUCUGUGCAUCUGACCUCGAAAAGAUCCCUCCCGUACCUCUUGUCUUCUCUGAGAGGCUUUCGGCCCCACCUCCCAGUGAACUUUCCAAGGAAUUCUUGGCUUCCAAGUUGCUAUUCUGGCUUGCUGGUUACGCAGAAAAUCUUUUCUAUUGCGUAUAAGGCAAUUAAAGGGUAAGCUCAGAGUCUGGCAUGUUUCUUUUAAAGCGAAAGCCAGGAGCAUAUGUUUGACUAGAGGCAGCCUCCUGUAAAAAUAACUCCUAUUAGUGGUGUUAUAAGAGCCACUGAAACCCUGCUGGCUUGCUGUUCCUCUGGAGCCAUCCCGUGCCCUCCUGAGGCCCUUUGUGAGAUCCUUUCUUUGAUAUGUGGUGGACAAACCUGUUCCUUAGGUGCCAGCACAGCGACUCCCUGCAGAAGAGUCUGUAAUUCUCUGAAAGGUGGCUGAAUUUUUAGGACACGCUGAGGGGACAAGUUGGAGAUGCGUUUAAAUUGUUCGUACUCUUUCUUGCUGGCUGUAAAGCCAAUCUUUCUCCAUUGAUUCAGAUGGCUACGAAAUGCUCGACUUUUAUGAUUUAUUUUUCUAGGCUGCUACAUUUCUUAUUCUGUCUUGUUUGAAAGGGUUUUUAGACUGUGUAGUGACCCCUGAGACCACAGAGUUUCAGUUAAGCAGGGGAUUUUAAAGAAAGGUCCUCACCAGAAGGACCCGUGGGGCUGUGGAGAUGGCUCGGCCUGUCGUGCAUGCAUGAGGACCUAAGUGUAGAAGCCUACCACUGAGCUAAAUCCCCAACCCCAACCCUGAACUCUUAUCCAUCCUGUCUCCACCUUGAAAGCUGCGUGAUCCUUUUGAUUCAGACAAAAUAAUAAGUUGAUUAUAAUGCAGUUUCAGACAGUAUUGCCAAUUACUGUUCACUCGCUGUCUUAAAGUAGAAAGGAAAACAUCACAGAGUUGCAGAGAUCCUUGCAAACUACAGCUAUGUUCUAGAUGUUUCUUUAUUUUUCAGAGUUAGUUUUGCGGACAGGUUUACCUGAGUUGACUAUAUAGUCCUGUAGCUUAGAAACCUCAGGGGGUGUUAAACUGAGCAUCUAGAUGCACUGGCUCUAAAGAAGCAAUUGCAAGUUCUGAUGUGAGUGGAGGGUUACAUAAGCAAUUGCCCAAAGUGUCCAAUGUCAGGACCAUUGGGAUUUAGUUCAGAUGGUAGACUGUUAGCCUAGCAAGCAUUAAGUCUCUGGUACUGCAUAAGACAGGGUGUGGUAGGGCAUGCCUGAAAUCUCAGCACUUGGGAGAUAGAGGCAGGAGAAUCAGGAGUUCAAGGCCAUCCUCAGCUACACAUGGAGGUUGAGGCUAGCCUGGGAUAGGAGGAGGAUGUCUUUGGGGAUGGUGUGGAAAAGGCUUGAGAUGGACCACAGGUAUUUGUGAGGAAGUGCCCUAAGACAUGUAUGAAUGGGAAAGUUGAAUGGAAGGUCCCAGUUCCCAGGAUCUGAAAACACAGCCUAACAGGAUCCCACCCAGGACUGCAGAGUUCUGAGUGCCAGGCAGGAACAGUGGCACCGUAAGGAACAGGAUCACCUGUGUGGGACAUGACAUGAUCUGCUCCCUUAGGAACUAAGUUGAUUACGGCUGCUAAGUCGGAGUAAACUCUGACUAGUUUUUAUGACUGAAAUGAUAUAGUCCCUUUAAAGUCAUAUGUGCUCUCCUCCAGCAAUGGAUAUGAGAAGGCUCUUCACAGAUGUCGGGUGUCACAAGUGAAACCUACUUUGAAAAGGUUUACAAAGUUCACUAAAGAAGGGUCCCCAUCCUCAGCUCCGAAAAAAAAAAAAAGAAUUUAUAUAAAGAAGGGUCCCCAAAGUAAAUUGAAGAAAUCCUCAGAUCUUCUGGUUAAGAACUUAGAAGUUGGCAAUGCCUCUCUUUAAACCUAGUACAGAUAAAAAAAGGGCUGAAAAGCACAACUGGGUUCCCUUUGAGAAAGGACUAUUUUCAGAUGACCUGGAUGAACAGCCAAGGAACCAAACCCCUUAAAUAAAAAUGUAUUGACUUAAUGUAGUACAUAAUUCUAUACAUUAAAAAACAAAAAGAACUAAGUUGGGUAGGUCAGUCGCCUGUCCAAGGAAUGAGCCCUCAGGAAGAUGGGCUCGCUCCAAACUAUGCUAGAGGUAGAGGGAUCUUUAGCCCUUUAAUGAGAUCAUUAUUUUCUUUCCCAUAAUGACUGUGCCUGCCCUAAGCGCAGUCGCCCCUGAGCUCACAAAGGGUUCUGUUGGGCUGCGCUCGCUCGUGAGUCCUGACCUGGGAAGGUACCACUUUCCCUUUUUCUGGUGAAUGUUGGCCAGGUCCUACGCAUGCUCCACUGCUGCAUGGGGCUUUUCACUCUUUCUCCAAUCCACCUUCCACCAUGCUGCUUGUCUAUCACAUGGCUAACUGACCUCCAUAUUGCUUUAACUCAAACAGCGUGGUCUUUUCUUUCUUUUCUCUUUUCCCUGUGGGUGGCUGCCAAGAUAACAGCUUGCCCACUCUGGUUUUUUCUUUUAAAUGCUGAUAAAAUUGACUUUGGGUUUUUCUUUGAGUUUGUUCUUAGGUUUUUUUAUCAAAGAAACUAAGAAUCCCAUUGGGGUGGGUGAUUGGGGGUGAGGGACCUUGAUUUCCCUGGUGACAUGUGUCAACCUGGAUGGGUCUUCCGGAAAUGUCUGGUAACACAAGUGUCAGUUCAUUAGGGGUUCCAGCCAACAGCCCUAGUUCUAAUCUGGCUGUCUUGUAUGGUCCUUCGGCAAGGACUGACAGGCCAACAUGACCACCCUGGAGUGUUUGUCACAAGGUCCUCAGAGCAGUCUGCCUAGGACUAUAUUCCCUGCUCCCCAUGUUCACAUAUACUCAUGCUGCUAGAACAUGGGGUGACCUGAAGGUCUGAAUUGUUGCUUCACUUCUCAGUGUGCUCAGACACAGCUCAGAAUUAAGCUAAGAGGGUCCAGCUGGCCAUAGACAUAGAGUGUGUAUUUUAUAGCUACAGACACAGUCCUGUCACAAACCAGGCCUGAGUACUUACUUUGUACUUGGCAGAUAGGGAUUGGGGUGGGGAGCUAGAUAUGGGCUUCUUGUUUUCCUCUACCAGCUGGAUCCUCUACGGGUUGGAUCAUUUGCAUAGCCCCUCUGUUAAAUAAAAGAGCUCAACCUGGGUGGUUCCAGAAAUCUGGAAGCUGAGGUUUGUUGGGAGUUCAAUGCCAUCCAGUGCUAUUAUAGUGUUAGGCUCUGUCUCAAACAAACAAACAAAAAACUAAAACCAUAGACACCAAAUAAGCAACGUGUCUAAGUCUCAGUCUCUCUCUCUCUCUCUCUCUCUCUCUCUCUCUCUCUCUCUCUCUCUCUUCUCUCUUUUUCUCCCCUCUCUCUCUCUCUCUUUCUCUCUCUCUCUCUCUCUCUCUCUCUCUCUCUCUCUCUCUCUCUCUCUUCCUCUCUCUCUCUCUGUCCCUCUUUCCCUCUCUCUUUAUGACAGAGUCUCUUUCUCAUCCAGACCUGGCCACGAACACGUGGCAAUCCUCCUGUCUCAGCGCCCCUCACAUACUAGAACUAGACACGUUAGCUCCAAAUCCAGUUAUAUUUGAUUUCCUAAAACUGCUUGGUAGUUUCUUUUUUGUUUUUUAAGCCCAAUACUCUAGCCAAAGUACCAGGAAAUAAAAUUAGGGCCUUCAACAGAGUUGCCAAAUAAAUAUAUAGAUUUUUUUUCUUUUAGUUAAAUUUGAACUUCGGAUUAAUAAUGACAAGCCUUUGAGAAGUAUAAACGCGUCUGAAACGUUGCAUGGUCUAUAUUUAUAUUAAAAUAUUCCAUGUUAUUUACUUGCAGUUCACGAUCAGCUAGCACGUCUUCUUUGGUGCACAGCCCUCCCUGAAAAUGGGGUGAGAAAGGGGGAGGAGAUGUAUUUAGCUGGCUUGAUUUUUUUUUUUUUUAAUCUUAACUUCUGUAUAACAGUCUACUUGUUCGGUUACAGGUAUGCAGGAAGUAAGAGAGAAAAAUAUGCAAGGAGAGAAAAAAGGACACAGGCUCCAAGGAGAACAGAAGUCAUCACAUUAUAUGUAAAAGUCAUUUCGGAUGCGUAAAUCCGGGAUGCUCUUUAGAAUUCAACCUGAGCUUGUCCGUGAUGACCAGGGGUUUUAUGAGACUCUUCUACGUUUUCGGCCAUCCAGAUAAGGAGGUGGCUAUGCGAUACUCCCUGACUGGAGGCCUCUUGGGAAAGUUACUGAGGGUUCAGCCAGUGGCCAAACCUUCUGCUGGCCCUGGAAUGGAGACUUACCAGUAGGAACACCUGUAGAGGCCUCUUCCAAAUGUCAAAAAUCCGUGGGGUCUGAUAAGAGGUUUUCCAUAGGCUUUAUACAAAGAAGCUUUCCAGGAACCUAGGUCCCUAUUAUGUAAAGUGUGUGUGUGUGUGUGUGUGUGUGUGUGUGUGUGUGUGAGAGAGAGAGAGAGAGAGAGAGAGAGAGAGAGAGAGAGAGACAUAUGUGAACACACACUCACACCAUGGAGGCCAGAAGACAGAGUUGGACUCCCUGAAGCUGUGAGUUACUCAAAGUAUGUCUGGGAACUGACCUCAGGGGUCCAGCAUGAACAGUAAGCACCCUGACCACUGAGCCAUCUGGCCUGCCCCAGGAGUUCCUCUUGAGUCUCAGAGUCAUUGGCUGAUAUUUACCUGAUGAUUACAGGCUGUGGAUGUACACUGAGGGACUCAGAGCUACAGGUACGGGAAUGACAGUUGGAGGUUGUUCUUGGAGAGCAAGUGAAGCAACUUUCUUUAGAUGAAAUGUUUGCUGGGGUCACUGAGGCAGCAUGUGGAAGUGUCUAGAAGGUGAUGGCUACCUCAAACCUUCAUCCUGCCUCUCUGUGCUACCUGCUGCUGCUGCCUGGAGAAAUAAGACACUGACAGUUAGGGUGGGUGUGAGGAACCACAUUCGACAGGUUUCUACUGUUAAUAUGACUGGGCUGCACUGUCUUGGCUCCUUCAUGUGGCAGCCAUGCCUCCCUGUCCUACACUCUUCUCAGGGAUGGCGUCCCUCCUCUCCUCCACACUCUCCCGGCAUGGCGGAUCUCCUCUCUUUCCUCCUUCCUCCAGGUCCCAAACCUGGAAAAUCCCCAAAUCCUGCCUCUGUCUGCCCUGCCCUGCUAUUGGUUGUUGGCAUUGUUAUUUACCAAUCAGAACCAACUGGGGAGAGGUUCCCAGAAGCUAUGUGCAGAUACCCAGACAGUCUCAAACGAACAGUUCUGAGGGGACAUAAUUAGCAUUCAUAACACAGGCAGCUACACUGUAGUACAGAAUAAGCUUUAUAAAUAGUGAUGUUCUUUCUAAAUGCAUAGCUUUGAGACAGGGUUAGACACACUUCAACUCCUGGAAGACCUUGACCCUAUACUUUAGGGUUGAGUUCUUGUUUCCCUAUUAUUGAUUUUUAGACAACUUCACAGAUGGGCAAAAGAAAUAAAUCCACCAAAGUAUGAUUUUAACCCUUGUGGUCCAGUGGAGCUGCCAUUCACAGUGAGAGAGAAGUCACAUGGCAAGGAGACCCAGUAGACUUUAAUCCCUGAAUGGUAGUAAGACAAACAAACAAACAAAUAAACAAACAAAAAACCCUCAGAACAAGCCCAGUGCUUGCCUAGCAUCUGGAUCCAGAUGGUCCUUGGCAUUUGCGGAUGCUCUGACCCAAGCCUCCGCUAGACGAAAACUUAAGAAAUUGUCUCUUCCUUUCUCAAACCAUGGCUGCACUAAGUGAGAAACUGACAAAUUAUCUCCCUUCUCUUUUGAACCCAAGUAUUCCUAUGGGAAUGGAGGGGCAGGCUGCUUGUCAGUGCCCCUCCAAGCCUUUCACCAAACUGAAGGGGUGUAUGUGUGUGAGUCAUCCCGUGUGGCACCAAACCUCUUUGUCUAAUCUCUCUCUGGAGACGUAUGUGUGACUAAAAGACGGGAAAGUUCACUGGAGAAAGCAACUUGGUGACCUGUGUGUUCCCGGACUGGGGAGUCUCCGAGAGCUGCCUUUGAGUGUUCCGCACGCACGUGAGCCAUUCAUUAACUCUCCAACCUGGUUCCAAAGACUCUCCCAAAGUGUACGUAGGCUCCUUCCCUACAGGUUUUGAGCAAGAAUAGGCUUUGAAUAAAUUCUAUGGGUCAAAAGUAUGAACUAAAUUCAGUAGCCAUCUGUACCUGCUUGGGGAAAGGACAGUUCCAGUGUGGCCUUAAAGUUGCUUCAGUUCUCCUGCCCAAGCAUCUGGUGAGUUGGGAUUCCAGCCAGGCAUCAGACAACCUACCUUUUAAAGAAACAUUCUGAUGAUGAAAUCUAUCUUUCCUUUCCCGGAGGACUAGGGUAAGCCUUCAAAAAAGAGUUUAAAAGUAGCUCAUCUAUAAACAUACACCACACACACACACACACACACACACACACACACACACACACACCACGCCCCCCCACACCCCCCAUGGGGAUUUUCAUGCCUCUGAUCCACGGUCUCAUUCUAUCAUCCAACCUCUUUCCUAAUUUGUAAUUCCUCUUUGUUGGUAAAAUACACUGUCCUCAACAUACCUACUUUCUGUUCAAUGUUAGUACAUGCAAAACCAUCUGAGAAGCCCGCCCUGGUACCCAUGAGAAACACUGAGUGUAGUAUCUGUGUUCGGCUUCCGCUUUUUGAGUUUGUAGAUGUGGUUCCCUUUCCCCAAUCACACUGUCUGUUCUUCCCUGGUGUGGUGUCUCAUUCAUUUUCGAGACAGUGAAGUUCAGCCAUUACUGUUGCUUCUCCAUUUUGCCCCACACCCUUGUCACCUGACUUAGCAGGGUGGGGUUUAUGACUGAGUGGUCCCGGCCAAGAAAUAAAGGAAGCUGACCUGUGUGUCCCUUACCUCUUCUAUAACCGGGUCUCUGGAGAGAAAGUUUCCCAUGACAGCUGCAAUCUACAGCAAUAUCAAAAUGGCUUUCAUUCCCCCGCUCUUUACCCCGACCCACCCUACCUCCUAUUUCCUGGAGUUUCUAAUUAAGAGAAAAACUGGUUUGAAAACCACUCCCUAAUCCUUUUAAUUUGGGAGGAGUUCAACAUGAAUAAUCAGAAGGUUAAAAGGUCGGUAAUGGGUGGGUGGAGGCACAGGAGCCCCGAGGAGGGAGCGAGUGAAUAAUAAAGAGUUUAGUGAAUGGAGAGUCAUGGGCAGUUACAUCAAUUAAGUAAUAGUGUGAGCAAGAAGUGGCAUGCUGUCUUUGUCUCUAACCUGGGUAGUUUGGAGGAGCCAAUCUCAAGGCGAGAUGCCAUUAGCAUUCGCUGGCUCUUGUCUAUGUGAGCCAGUGUGGUUGGCAGAGCCUCGUUAUCCCUUUCCUUCCUGCGUUUGUUCAUUUAUUCCAUCACAAUCUCCUACUGACAGACGUUAGACCUGAUGUCUUAUGUGCGAAGACCUUAAGCAGGGCCUUAGAGUAGGCGGACCGAUUCCAGGCACCAUCGCUCUAUCCAAGCCCAGUUUAUUGCCGUGCCCAAUGGUUGAUGCAUCAACCCCAAAAUAUUUGAGAACUAGAUACAUGGAAGUCCUGGAAUCGUGCUCAGAACCCACUGUAGAGAGAACAUUGGGGAUGCAGGGGUGGGCGAGUGCUCCCAUGAAGGAAAAUGUUUUGAGAAUUUCAUGCCACGCCCUCUGUUGUCAAACUUCUGCUGGCCUGGGCUCUGUUCCCUGGAGCGGUACUAAGAGCUCAGCCCAGACUUGCCUGGGAAUCGGUGUAAACAGAUCUCCCAUGGAAGGCAGGAAAACAGCCUUGGGUCUUGUUGGGAACCUAAGGGCUGAUAGGUGCAGGGUGAUUCACCCAGGCAGGUUGCGACAAGGCCAAUUGCAGGCCUAAAGUUGUUUGUUUCACCAGCAUUAGUAAACAUCACCACAAAACAAUUAUGUCAGUAAAGAUUUCAAAAUCGCCCAAGGCAGAGGACAAGAGAGAAAAGUGAUCAUAAAAGUGAACCAGAUAUUUGAGAAUAUUUUGGUUGACUAGAGGAAGAUGCAUAUAGAUGAGGUAAUGUGUGUGCUUUACGGAUUUGAUGAAUUGGCUUGUGGUUUGGUGUGGAUUGGGCAGUUUACAAAAGCAAUCCCUCCUCACUUCCCACUGCUUUUCUUCCUUAUGAUGCUCUGGGAAAAGAAACUUGUUUUACCAUACAUGGGAGCCAGAGAUUAAGCAAUCCGUUUGGUAAUUCCUUCUCCUGCGGAACAAAGCUAGACUCUUCUCAGUUUCGUCUCUGCUUUGUCUUUAUGGCCAUCUGACUCUUUUCUGCUUUUUAACAGGGUUGAUAUUUAGAACAAUGUUCUCUGUAGAAAUGGUGCUUGUUCUUCAGGGACUUGCAUUAGGACACGCAUGUGCAUGCCACUACAUAUCCAUCUCAGUGUUGCCUUGUGGGAAUGUUGACUUACCCCAUGGCCUUCCAAGACUAGGAUGAGCAGGGUUUGCAUGCCCAAGCAUUGCUGGAAUCAACAGGUCUAUGCACCGAGGUUGGCCAGCUCCUGGAGAAGGGCUCACCAAAGUUCACUGGUUUUUCCUGCUCUUCUGAGGCCCAAGCGGCCCAAAGAGCUCCCCUGGCUGGCCUCAGGUACCUCUGUGUCAGUCCAGGCUGGAGUCAGGAAAUGAAGAGGUGGGUGGGAAAAGGAAAACUACUAGGGUGGAGGUUUGGGAAAAUUCCUCAAUCUUUUCAUGACAUCAAACUGUUCAACAUGGGUAAGUCAUCAGGAAAAACACAAAACCCUGACCCUAGUGGAAUUUACCACUGGUCGGCUGUACUGCACCUUCUGGCUCCCGCACCCUGUAAAUGGCUGGGUAAUGAGAGGUCUGAGUUUUCUCGGGCUGGAAGGUGAGAAGCUUAGGCAGGUGUUGUGAAGGAUUACACAACCUGGAGAGGAUCUUCAUGAACGUUCAAAAACAAAUAAACAAAGAAAUCCCCAAACUGUGGAAGCAAAGUGAAUAUUAAGAGAGGAAAGGUGCAGAGAAUUGCUUGCCCUCAAUAACCACUACCAGAUACUUGAACAAAAUCCACCCAGGCUGAAACAACGUGCAAGGCAACUUUUGUUUUGCUGAUUUUUUUUUAAAAGUCUUACUAGACAGCCAAGUCUGGCCUGAGACUUGCAAUCCUCCUGUCGCAGCUUCAUGACUGCUUGGACAUUUUGAAUUGUCACAAGCCAGAUCUACAGCACGGCUUUCUGUUGAGCAACUGUCAAUUCUGUAAGGCUCAACCUUUCUUUUCCAUUUUAAAAAACUAUAUAGUCUUCAGUUGGCCAUUCACAUUCCCCUGUUUCAUUGCCUUUUACUUUAUUAUUUUUUGAGAUAGGUUCUAGGUGGGUAGCUUUCUUGUUCUUUCUACCUCAGCUUCCCAAGGGCUGGAAUCUUCUGCGUACCACCACACCCACGUCUUCACAUUUCUGUAACAUUCCUUUUCCAUGUUUCAUGAUACAGAUCAUGAUUAUCUGUAGUCUAAUACUUUCCAUAAAGAAUAGAAUGAAAAACCAGCAAAACGUGUUCCUUUCCUACUCCCCAUCUCCCUGUGACUCCAGUGUUGACCCUGAAGGGCAGGCUGUGGCCCUAGAGGAUGUGUAGAGAGAAGUUAGCGCAGGGAAGGAGAACGAGUAGGGGGUUAGAAUCACGUCUUUUAAAGCUCCUCGUGCGGCUAAGAAUUUGUAGCAAUAUGCAAAGACAUUAAGUCACAAUGAAACCGCAAACAUCCUCAAGUAAGCCCUUUGCUAACUGGCCCUGAAACAUGCUAACAGCCUGCCACCAUGAAGUCAAGUCUGGUGAGAGGACAUUAGAACAGAAGGAUACAUUACACACUGUGAUUUAACCCCAGAGUAUGACUCAUCUGUCUCACUACUACGAAUUUUUAGACUUAUAGCCAGGUGACUUGAGAGCAUCUUCCCACUUCAGGAUCCUCGAAGGGGAGACCCUGGGAGAUGAGAGCCCCAUCAUAUUUCCUUCGUUAGCAAGUUUGUCUGAGGUUCUGAGGGAAUUUGAGCAAGUGGUUCACUCUCCUGCCUCAGUUUAUCCUUCCAUCUAUUCUGCUACAUUCUUGCCAGGGUCAGGUAAGCAUGUCUAUAUUUCCAUGUGAUCUCAAGGGUGUCUGUUUUUUUUCCAUCUGCUCACUCUGAGGUUUUGUGAGAGUGGAUAAGAGUAUACAAAACAAAGCACAGGCUUGGCUGGUUUUCUGAGUUACUGAGGUCUGGUACCUGGGCCACCGUCAGGUGGGUAAGUCGUUUGAAGAGAUUAAUGUAAUAAAAACUAACUCCUAUUCUGGGGUAACUUUUAGCUUGGUCAAGUAACAAUCCAUGUCCAGUUGGAUUCACAGUCCUCGGGGAGCAAAAAGCUUGGAGGAGGAAGGCUCCCACGGGAAGCAUCAUGGUUAGUGAGACCCCGAGCCAUCUCAGCAGAUGGCACAACUGGUAAAGGACACGGGCUCCUCCCAAGUCUCUGGAAGUAACCUUGAAGGACAUUUAACUGAUCUUGACUGUUAAACAGAAAAGGUCCUCCGUUGGGUUGUCGAAGAGAUUUUUAGAUAUCCAAGCAGCAAAGUGCAGCCACAGAAUAGGAUGACUGGUCACACCAGGCAAAAAGAGCUAUGCUAGGCUUUAUAAGGGACAAACAAUGGCUAAGGCCUUAGAAGACAUUCUUCUAAUGUCUCCCUUUCCUUUACGGUACCUACAAAAUCAGAUCGAGGCAGUGCCAGACACCCUAUCCCUUUGGUGAGCAGCUUUACUAUUUGGUGUUCAUGGUGAAAAUAGGUAGCGACCUUGGAGAUUGUCCUAUUAGUCUUUAGACCUGGUGUGCUUAAUACCUUCUUUAUAGUGAAUCCUCUUUCAGAUGAUCAUGCAGGAAUUUAAUUUCAUCUCUCUGGGUUUACUUCAUGGUAUCCCAUGGCCUGAGAGUCAACAAGAAUGGAGACCCAAACAAGCACGCCUAAGCCCCAUUUUAGCUAGAAGUAGCCAUCUUGACUCUAUGCCUCUGUCAUAAGUGAUUUUAGAGUCUCAGCUCUAGAGAAGGGAACCUGAGAUAGCUAGACAGGCACUGUCACGCUCAGAGAGAGUUGUUAAUAGGACCCCCUCUCCCUUGUAUUCAGUUAUGUCCUUAUUUAAGAUUCUAAAUACUAUAUGAAAAGGAGAGGGAUUUAUUGAAGCCCUCUAAGAGAAAGUCAUUUCCUUCUGGCCAAAAGGCUGUAGUUUGAAUUCUAUCUCCAGCCUUGGGUAGAGCCAUCACAUUUAUAGUGGCCAAAGCGUAAGAUUACAAACAGAUGAUUGUCCCCGCCCCUUGGAGUUAAUCUGAUAUCUGCCAGGAGACCAACCCUCUGGAAAUGGAAUAAACCUAAAGAUAAUGCCACGUAGAGAGCGAAAUAAUUACCUCCCUAAUAAGACAGUGUAUCUAUCCUACUAGUCUCCCCCCAUGCGAUUGCUUACACAUUUCUCUAUUAAUCAGGUUUGCUUUUAUGAGUUCUAACUCAAAAAGUAUAGCUUUUCCUUUUCCACAUUUCUAAACAACUUUAGGGGAGUCAGUUCUAGUCUGUCUGUCUUCCUUCCUUCCUUUCUUCUUUCUUUCUUUCUCUCUCUCUCUCUCUCUCUCUCUCUCUCUCUCUCUCUCUCUCUCUCUCUUCCUUCCUUCCUUUCUCUCUGUCUCUGUCUCUAUCUCUCUUGUCUGUCUUCCUUCUUUCUCUCCUCCUCUUUUUCCCUCUCCCUCCUCCUUUCUCUUCUCCUCCUCCUCGUUCUCCUCCUCCUCUUCUUCUCUUCUUUCCUUCUCCUUCUCCUUCUUUCUUCCAUGUUUAUUCUGGGGAUUGAACUCAUGCAUGGCGUUGAGUACCUUUGUGUCUAGUCUUUCCACCCUCCUUCCCACCUUUCUAGCUCUUCUUUUGGUUCUGCCCACAAGCCUAAGCAUGCUCGCCUUGCCUUCUCCAAAGACUUCCCCUACUCCCACCCAUGCUUGCUGACCUCUCCUGCUGAACCUGCUGCGUGCUAACUUAACCGGCAUGACUUUCUCUUAUCCAUACCUUUCCUCCAAGCGGUUGCCAACUCUGACGGUGCAAUAUGCUCUGUUAUUAUUGUUUCCAAAUUCUAAUAAAAUAGCUCUUGAGAGUAAAAAACCAACAGACAAUCAAAUGAACAAAUUUAACUUGAUUAACUAAGAGAUGAGACAAACCAGUGAGGAAGGGCUUAUGUGAGCAUAGUAUAUAUUAUUCAUAGACUCGGUUCUAGUCUCUUAGGAUAGCCUGACCAACCCCUCAGCGACCCAUUUUGUGACCGUGAUCUUUUUGUGACUACAGUGUCCCACCCUCAGUCCUCAGGAGCCUCAGCAGCUGCUCCUUUCCUCCCAACUCUCCGUUGCUGCCUCCAGUUGCGUCGAUGGCACCAUGCUGCUCCUCACUGCGGCCCCUUUCUCUCAUCUUUCCUUUCUUCUGCACAGUCUGAAACAGCUCUUGCUCCUCUCCCUUGCAUUUUCUCUCCCUGAAGGUCUCUCCCAGGACAAGCCUAACACUGACUACUUCUCUUCAGUGCAGGAACAGCAAGCUGUGAGAGAAAGCAGCCCACUGUUUGCUUUCAUUCACAGGAUGGUAGUGACUGAAAAUCUCAAGUGACCCUAGCAGUGCCCAGAAAUCCCAGUGAGUUCUCCCAUGCUUGCCCCUCAGGCUCUGCUGCUCCUCACGUUUAUCUUUAAACGUCUGACCUUUUGCCCCACAGCACCUUUAGAGCCGAUUGGCUGAUCACUCAUUGAUCUAGAAAACAGCAACUGUACCUCUAAAUUUACAACUAUUACCUACUGUCCCCACAUCCCUGCCUUUCAGUGGAUGGAGGGAGAGUCCUUGCCCUACCUAAGCCUGGGUACUUUUGUUUUCAGAGUCUAACUCAUGACAAUGUUUUCUCAUGUUCCUUACACCACGAAUUUCUCUCUGUCAACACUGUGAGUUAGCAGAGAUUCACGAGGGUCUUUAGUCCCCUAAGAAAAACAAGUACUUCCUCAGCCUCAUGGGCUAGGGCUUCCAGGGAGUCCAGAGUCCUUUCUCUUGGAAAAAGAUCUACAGACAAUUGGUUAUUCCUUCUCUUGCUUUCUCUUACCUCCUCACCCUUUGUUCCUCUUCACUGACCUUCUUCUUUCUUACUCUGCUUUGUUGUUACUGCUGUUUUUCUGAGACAGGUUUCCUGUGUGUAGCCCAGGCUAUUGUCAUUAGUGCCCUACCUUUGGUGUCAAGGAGCCUCAUGAUCACUCUUCCUUUGGUUCAGGUAGCCCAAGUUAUCCUCAUGAUCACCCUUCCUUUAGUGCCAGGCUUCAUCAGGUGAUAUUUUUCUUGAAACAAGGGUCUCACUCUCCCACAGAAUGUCUUUAUGCCUCAUCCCCCUGCCUCCACUUCCCAAGGGAUGGCAUUACAGGCAUGUGCUAGUGCCUCAUCUCACACCACUCUGGUCAGUCCCCUUUCCACCAGUCCACUCUGGCUGUUGUUGUCUCGUUGCCUGCAAACUCCUAGCCAGAUCCACCUUUCAUUAUUCACUCUCUUGAUGGACCUAAUGGCUGACUCUUGCUUUCUUGAAUAUAUUUUAUUUAUUAUGGCUUCUGAAAGUCCAUACUCCUGGCUCCCUCAUCCCUCCUGGUCAAUCUAUUGUCUUUUCUUUCUGCACUCCUUUUUUUUUUUUUUUUUAGCACUAUUUAUUAGUGUGUGUUUGUUUGUGCAUAUGUGUGUGCAUGUAUUUAGGGCUUUUGUGAGAAGAUCAGAGGACUACUUGGGGAGGUUGGUUCUUUCCUCCCAUCAUGGGGAUCUCAGGGCUGGAUCUUAGGAGGUCAGGCUCAGCAGCAAGCGCUUUCAUCUACUGAGCCUUUCAAUGGCCCCACUCCAUGAGUUGGAUUUCUCAGCAGCCAACUUUAAUCAAUGCUGUUUCCUGUCUAAACUCACUGUUCAUGUAAUCCUAUAUGACUGGUAAUAUAAUAGCUUUAAGCUAUGUCUUAGUUAGGGUUUUACUGCUGUGAACAGACACCAUGACCAAGGCAAGUCUUAUAAAGGAUAACAUUUAUCUGGGGCUGGCUUACAGAUUCAAGGAUUCACUCCAGUAUCAUCAAGGCAGAGACAUGAGAGCGUCCAGGCAGGCAUGGUGCAGGCAGAACUGAGAGUUCUACAUCUUCAUCUGAAGGCUGCUAGCAGAAUACUGACUUCCAGGCAGCUAGGAUGAGAGUCUUAAAGUCCACAUCCACAAUGAUACACCUACUCCAACAGGGCCACACCUUCUAAUAGUACCACUCCUGGGUCUAGCAUAUACAAACUAUCACAAGCUAUAUUUAUAUGCUUCUGGUUUUGAAAUAUAUGCUUUCAGGCUUUCCUUUUUGCCAGAGCUCCAGGUUUGAUGACUUUCUGUUUGAGAUCUAUUUGGUGCCUUGAAUCAGAGCCUUCCUCCAUAAACCUCUGCUUCCACCAUCUCUGAUCCCACUGGGGCUUCACCAGCCAUGUAAACAGUACACUGUGCACCCAGUGCUUAACCCCAGAUGCAAAUGACUCUGGUCUUUGCCGAAUUAUUUCUGUCCACUUUAUCAUAUGAAGUCCAACCACCUCACACCUGCCACACUAGCCCAGUGGUCGCUAACUCCACACCUUGACUAUUACAAAGCCAUGCCACAGAUCCCUUGCUAGCCCUAUGAAGUAUUUUACCUUUUCAGUUGGUUGCUGUUGUUGUUUGGGUUUUGAGAGAGGGUGGUAAAUAGGCCAGACUGGUUUCAAACUCACAAAGCAGGCAACUUUGGGCUCUUGCUCCUUCUCCUUCUACCUCCUAAGUGCUGGAGGACAAGAGGGGAUCACCAUGCUUGGCUAUAAGUACUACACAAAGCAUCCAGAGCAUCAUGGUCAUACAGUGUCCCCAGCCCACAUACCUGUAACCUCAACAUUUGUGGUAGAAGCAGGAGGACCAGGUUCAAGAUCAUGAUUAGUUACAUAGCAACCUGGGUAGCAUGAGACUUUAUUUAAAGCAGCCAACAUAAAUAAAUACAUAAAAAAAUGAGUGCCUGUAGGCUAUUCUUCCUUAUUACCUAGAUGUAGGUCUGGAACCUUCUCCUGUCAUGACAGCAGAUCUAUUAACUCUCCCAACACAGACUUACGACCCUGUUCCUGCCCUUGUUUCUUGGUCCCGAGUUCUUCACAACAUAACCCAGUCUCUGCCCUUCAGCCAGUCCUUGUUAAACAGCUCAACAAUGCCAUUACUGGCUGUUGAUGUCAAGCCAAGGUCUUUCUGGUUUCAUUGUACUUGUUGAUGUAGGCAGGGCUUACUAUAGAUUUGGACAAGAGGAGGGAAACCUUGGUUUUUAACCUGCACAGCUAGUAUGAAGACACUGUGGCAGAGAUCAUUCCUUAUUCCUGAAAUUUUUCUUUAUUUUAUGUAUAUGAGUGUUUUGCCUGUAUAUCUGUAUGUGUAUUACAAAUAUGCCUGGUGCCUGUAGAGAUCAAAAGAGGGCCUCAGAAUCCCCUGAAAGUGGAGUUACAGUUGUGACCUGCCGGAGGCUGCUAAGAACUGAACUCUACAAAAGCAGUAAGUGCUAUUAAGCAAUGAGCUAACUUUCCAGCACUGUAAUGGUUUGUAUAUGCUUGACCCAGGGAGUGGCACUGUUUGGGGGUGUAAUCCUGUUGGAAUAGAUGUGUCACUAUGGACAUGGUCUUAAGACCCCCAUCCAACUUGCCUGGAAGUCAGUCUUCCACUAGCAGCCUUCAGCUAAAGAUGUAGAACUGUCAGCUCCUCCUGAACCAUACCUGUCUGGAUGCUUCCAUGCUCCUGCCUUGAUGAUCCUAGACAACCUCUGAAUCUGUAAGCCAGCUCCAAUUAAAUGUUCUCUUUUAUAAGACUUGCCUUGGUCAUGGUAUCUGUUCAUAGCAGUAAAACCCCUAACUAAGACAGAAGUUGGUACCAGGAGUGAAGUAUUGCUGUGAUAGGCCUGACCAUGCUUUUGUUUAGAAGAAUGUGGAUUUUGGGACUUUGGAUUUGGGAAACAGUGGAAUGCUUUAAAUGGGGCUUAAUGGGCUAUUCAAGAAAGAAUAUGGAAGACUUUGUUGCUCAAUAUGAUUUGAACUGUAUAUACCUGGCCCAAGAGGUUUCAGUGGAGAAGAAUUUCAGAAUGUGGCUUAGAGACUGUUUUUGUGGGAUUGUGGUGAAGGAUGUGGCUGCUACAUCUUUGUCUGAAGAGUCUACCUGAGACUAAGGUAAAGAGCUUUAUAUUAAUUACAUUGACAGAGGAAGUCUCAAAAAAGCCCAGCAGAGACUUUGUUCUCUGGUUAAGUUUUUUUUUUUUUAAAGAUUUAUUCAUUUAUUAUAUAUAAGCACAUUGUAGCUGUCUAAAGACACACCAGAAGAGGGGAUCAGAUCUUUACAGAUGGUUGUGAGCCACCAUGUGGUUGCUGGGAAUUGAACUCAGGACCUCUGGAAGAGUAGUCGGGUGCCCUUAAUCACUGAGCCAUCUCUCCAGCCCUCUCUGGUUAAGUUUUAUGAAGAGUGUUUUGAGCAAGUGUAGAAGCUUCGAAAAAAAUAUUAAUAUUAAAAUAUAGAGUUCAAGAAUUAAAGAGGCACCAGGAAGUGAAAUGAAACUGAAUCCUAUGUUCUAGGAGAUAACAGAUUAAGGGAUUUGGGGACAAGAUACUACGGAGCUAAAUUUAGAUCUGGCACGGUGGUACACACUUUUAAUGCCAGGAGACAAAGCCAAACAGAUCUCUACAUUCGAGGCCAGUCUGGGACAAAGAAGAUUCUAGGUGAAGAAAAGAUUAAAUCCAGGCAUGGUGGUAUAUACCUUUAAUCCCAGCAUUACAGAAGACAGAGCCAUGCAGAUCUCUGAGUUCCAGGUCAAUCUACAGAGCAAGUUCCAAGAAAGCUAAGCUUAGGCAGAGAGGGAGUCAGAAAACAGAAGCUAGUAAUAGAAUGGGGGUGGGGGUGUCCUAGCCCUAGAAAGCAGCAAAACACGGCAGCUUCAGCCAUGUGGCUCUGGCUUUAUAGUGAAAAAUAGAAGGGACUACUGGGACAAUUGAUGCUGGCUAGCUAGAGCUAAGAAAUUCAAGGUAAUUAAGAAGAUUCACUGAGGUGAAAUCUUCUGGGAAGUGUUUUCUGAGAGCACAAAGCUGUGUUCCAGAGAUAGCCAAGGUUGUAUCCCAUGUUGUAGCUGUACUGGGUAAUGUGUAAGAGUCACCAAGGUGGUACUGGUUUUGAAGGCAUGAAGGCAUCAUGAAGAACAGCUGAGGCUUGGCACCAUGGAAGGCCAUUGGUGAAGGUGCAGUGUCAGUUGUAGUUGACAACCCAGGACUGAGGGGGUCAUGCAAAGGAGUUGAGGCUUGGCACCCUAAAGAGAGCCUAUGAGAGGCUAUUUGGAGCAGAAGACCGUAGCAUGUUGAAGAUGCCAGUACCAUGGGGUGAUCACCAAGAACAGUAGCGGUAGUAGAGUAGAUCAACCUGAGCUUAGAGUGCUACAGAGGGCAGAGCUGGAGAAGUGAUGCCAUCCCUUUGGAGGAGCCCAGAAGAUCAUGUAUGUAUCCCAGACACUGAAGCAAGAAGCUGUAACGUUGAAGUUGCCUUGGAGACCCUAAGAUAUUCAAGAUGCCAGAGCCAUGCUCUAUCUGUUGAGGAAAGCUGCUAACAGGGAGUGGAACCAGCCCAGGAGAAAGAAGUUUGUUGCAGUCAACAAAGAUGAAAAGGGAGCUGAAGAUCUGAAGAUGGCUUUGACAUCAGACAUGGAGAUGCGGAGUUUGGAGUUUGCCCAGCUGGUUUCCUGUCUUGCUUUGGUGAUUACAGUUAAGUGAUUGGAUGGAUCUCAGAAGAGACUUUGAACUUUGGACUUUUAACAUUGUUGAUACUGCUAUAGACGUUGGGGACUUUGGAAGUUGAACUAAAUGUACUUUUUUAAAAGUAUGCUAUGAAUAGAUAUGGCCCCCAUGGACUCAUGUGUGUAAACAAGCCUAUGAGGGUCAGGGAGUGGAAUAUGAUGGUUUGUAUAUGCUUGACCCAGGGAGUGGCACUAUUGGAGGUGUGGCCCUGUUGGAGUUGGUGUGGCACUGUGGGUGUGGUCUUAAGAUCCUCACCCAACUGCCUGGAAGUCAGUCUUCCACUAGCAGAUAAAGAUAUAGAACUGUCAGCUCCUCCUACCCCAUGUUUGUCUGGAUUCUUCCAUGUUCCUCCCUUGAUGAUACUGGACUGACCCUCUGAAUCUGUAAGCCAGCCCCAAUCAUUUGCCUUGGUCAUGGUGUCAUUCACAGCAGUAAAACCCUAAGACUUUAUUAUUAUUUUUAUUAUUAUAUUAUUAUUAUAUUAUUAAUUAUUAUUGUUUUAUAUUAGCUACCAUGGAUAGCCCUAGGCUGGCUAUAUGACUAAGUCAAUUUUUAUUGAUCUAUUGAGAAUGAUCACCUAGCAGGAAAGAGCAAAAUGUUGAGCUUAGUUUUAUUUUUAAAAAUAAAAUGUGUUCAUAAAUACAUACACAGAAAAUGGAACAUGGUUUUAUAACCACUGAAAAUAAACAGCAAAUAACUAUGGAAAUUACCGGUGUCAAGAAGUCAAUAAAAGCUUAGUCAAUGAAUUCUGACCCAUUUCUGAAUCUUUUGAUAAUGAAAGAAAUGCUCCAGGGCAGGUCUCAGUGUGGGAGAUCCUGGGGAUCAGAGGCCCCAACAUGCCCUGAGGGCAUGUCCUUGUUUUGACAGCUGCCAAGACCUCAGCCCUCAGUGACCUGCUCCAAAACUGGUCUUCAGAGUCACUCCGGUCAUCCUCAGGGUACCCAACCCUUAGCAUGAGCACCACAUUCUGUUCAUAAGCUAGAUGACUGAACAUGGUUCCUGUAGCUGGCUGGGUUCUGUGACCCAAGAAUUAUGAGAGACAGACUGACCGGCAGCCAGAUGGAUGAAGUGUCCAGAAAGAAUGGGAGAGAGUUAGGAACCAUUAGACCUGGAGUCCUGAGGGCCUGGCCUUGGUGGCUCCCUCCUACUUAUUCUUUGAGCUUAGUGUUUGACAAGGCUGGGGAGUUUCAAGCUUCACUUGAAACUGAAGAAGAAUGCCUUUUAGACUUCUGUCUUACUUUAGAUGAAUGAAUGUUUUGCAUGCCUGUGGUUGUUUGCAUAUGCUUGGCCCAGGGAGUGGCACUAUUAGAAGGUGUGGCCUUGUUGGAGGAAGUGUGUCACUGUGGGGUGGGCUUGGAGAGCCUCCUCCAGUCUUCCAGCUGCCUUCAGAUGAAGAUGUAGAGCUCUCAGCUCCUCCUGCACCAUGCCUGCCUGGAUGCUGCCAUGCUCCUACCUUGAUGAUAAUGGACUGAACCUCUGAACCUGUAAGCCAGCCCUAAUUAAAUGUUGUCCUUUAUAAAACUUGCAUUGGUCAUGGUGUCUGUUCACAGCAAUAAAAUCAUAACUAAGACAAUGCCGGUAUGGAUAUGUACCUUAUGUCUGUCUUGGGCCCAUGGAGGUCAAGAAGAGAAAGUCUGAACCCCUGGAACUGGAGUGAGGGACGGCUGUGAGUCAUCAUGUAGGUUCCGGGGCCUGAACUCAGGUCCUUGGCAUGAGUAACAAGUGUUCUAAACUGAUGAGUCAUCUCUCUAGCCCCAUGAUCUACAUUUUUCUGGUUAAUAAUUAUGUAUUUAUAUUUCACUCAUAUUUUUUUGUUGUUGUUUGGUUUGGUUUUGAGACCCAAGCCAGCCCUAAACUUCCAGAGAUCAGUUCCAGGGGAGCUCAUUAGCCAGACAGCCUAGCCUAGCAGCUCCAGGUUCAGUGAGAGACAUUGUCUCAAGAAAGUAAAAUAGAAAGAAAUAAAGGAAGAUAUUGGUUACUGAUGUUUGUUGUACACGCAAGUAUCUUACCUACACACAUACAUGAGUAUGUAACACACACACACAGAAACACACAUAUAAUAAAUAAAAAACAAAAUUUAUAUUUUAAUAUUUCAGAAUGCUGGAAUAUCAGGCGGAAAGAAGUUUACACAACUUGGGUCUUUUUCUUUUCUUGCUUUUUGUUUGUUUGUUUGUUUUGUUUUGACAAGGUUUCUCCGUGUAGCACUGGUUGUCCUGGAACUCACUUUAUAGACCAGGCUGGUCACUUGUCUGUGUAUCACAAGUGUACCACCACGCUGGGCUCAAUUUGAGUUUUCUUCUAGUAAACUUUUUUUCUCACUGUUGCUUCUCGUCUUGUCCAGAAGACAGUCAUCUCUAAGCUGCUGCCACAUCGGAGUGCUAGAAUACUCUGGCUCCCGUCACAAAGGUCUUAAAACCUGGGGCCAAGGAGUACAUCGUCCCUUAGGUCUGGCAACCAGACAUUCAAGAUAUAGCCGAGCCUGGUAUCGAAUGCCCGUAGUCCUGGUCCUCAGGAGGCUGAGGAAUUCAGAGCAAAUACAGGUUAUAUGUGGAAACAUAUAUAUGUAUAAAUAUAAAAACAGUACAAGUGCAGAAAGGAGUACUGUUAAGGAAAGGACGGUGAUCUGAGGGAGGAAAGAAGGGGUAAGUAAGGAUAAUAGUUCGAUGAAUACGGGCACAAGCCGCUGUGCGCAUGUGUGAAAAUGUCUUGACGCCACUGUCCUGAAGCUUCAUUAAUGAAGCUAUGGAAAGGUGUGACUCUUGGGGCUUCAACAUGCUCCAGUAAACAGUCCCGCACCCAGAGGAACACAGACACAUAAACUGGAGUUGAUGGGUUACUGAAUUUUUUUUAAAGGACACGUGAGGGUGAGGAUACAGGGGUGGAUGUGGGCGGAGCUAAGGAGACGAAACCAUGAUUAAAAUACAUUGUGUGGAAUUCCCAAAAAAUUAAGAAAAGUAGAGAAGAAAAUACCGCACUGAAAAUCCAUUGUUUUGUUUAGUCAAUAUACAGAAAUAAAAGUAAAACAAAAUUUCAGCGUGGUGUGCAAACACUGUACUCUUGAUGUCUCUUCGAAGUUUGAUGACUGAGCAGUGUUGAUCACAAGUAUGCAGAGUUUACUAGAGGAAGUGGGCACACACACACACACACACACACGCUUCUCUGUUCUGUUCCUUUGGAGUCUGCACUUGGUCCCUUCUCAUCACUUACCUCUGUCUAAGGCAUUGGAAAUUGUCAGCAUCCAUCCAAAUGACUCAACUAACAUGAAUGGCAUGCUGGGAACUACGAGGUGACUCAGAGGAGAAGGCGAGGGUCAGUCAGGAGUAGGCUAGCAUGCUGUCGUUGGCACUGGUCUUUUCAGUCGGAGUACAGAGUGUACUCCCGGAAAAGUCUAACUUUGUUAGGUUUGCUAUCUACAAAGAAGUGCUACACUAAACAAAAGCAAAACCAACUGUCUUGACUCCAUGGUGUGGAGAGCUUGGUGUAAACGAAAUGAGCAAGGUCUGUUGCAUUCAAAUCUUGUAUAAAACACUCAGCAUGAGAGAGGUCAGAGCCAGUGUUAACCGUCUUGGUGAGGGCCAGGGUGAGCCAAGCAUUCCCAAUUCCUGUUUUGACGUCUCCCGCUUCAUGCUUGUAGUAUCAGGAGGUGGUAAGGAGCCUUUUUGUUUCCUUUCCUUUUGUUUUGUUAAAUUAGUAGGUGCCAGAUCCGACCAAUCGACAUUCCAAAAUCCAACCUGUCACUAUUUUUAAAUUCUCCCCAUUUAUUUGUGCCCUAGGUAUAAUUACAGAUUUGGGAGCAGGGGUACAGUAGAAUGCAGAGAAAAUAUGCACGACUACUCUGGGCUGUCUUUUUUUUUUCUCCGUUCUAAAGCAGAGGCUAGAAAACUUGGGGUCAGCUUGUCUACUUUCUUAGGAUUUCACUUCAGCAGGACUGUGGGCAGCUUCUCUGACCCUCUCUUUCUUCUCUCAGGAUCCUGACUCCAGACAGUUUGAGCAGGAAACGCUCAAUGCCUGUUUCUCUCUCGGCCUGGCUUCAUUUAUCUCCUUUCUUCUCUGUCACAUCCACAUCUCUCUAUGUCUAACUCCAUCUUCACAGGCCUUCCCUGGAACCAUCUGUUGAAGAUGUAAUUAGGGACAGUCCUCUGCCUGUCUGAGAAUGACCCUUGGGGUUUGCACAGAGUCUGGGCUUCCUCUUCUUGUGUGGGAGAAUGGCCUUCUUUGUCUCUGGGGGUGUUCUUAGCACCCCUUUUACCACUUGGCUACCUCACAAACAGCAGCUUCUUGUGAGAACAUCUUUACCAGUGGAGGCUCAGCCACAUGCUGCCCCGUUCUAUAAUCUGGUCAGGAAUUCUCGGUCUAGAGAUGCUCCUCAGAGAACUGUUGAGAUGUCUUGAUAACCAGCCCACCUGUUUUUAUGAAUGCUAUCCAAAACUGCACUUAUUAUAGAAAACCAACAUUCGAAGUCAACCAUGAUUAUGUGUGUGUCCGUUUGUGUGCCUUGUGUGUUUAUAAUCAACCUUGUUGAGUUACUGUGGUUUAUAUGCAGUAGUGAGUUUUUAGGUACAAACUGUCUAAAUAAUGUGCUAAUAAUCCAUAUGCUGUCUCAAGAGAUCAAAGACUCAAAGAAAACCACAUGUUGGGGUAACAUCUUCUCAGCUGAGCGGAGGAACGGGACAGAACGCAUCACUAGGAAUCACACAAGCAGGAGAUUGCAGUGCUGGGGGCAGGAGGUCUUUGCAGGCAUUUCUAGUUUGUUGGCUCCUAAACGAGGAAAGCACUUUUACGAGAAAAUAGUGCUAGAAAGACAAAAAGUAAAAAGAAAAGCGGUUACCCCUUUAAGAAACUGCUCAGACAUCUUCAGAGCUGGCUUUUCUUUGAUUUCAGCUAAAACUGAGGAACUUUGUUAGCGUCUAGUCAUCCUUUUAGGCAACCUAAAAUAAGCUUGCCCGUUAGGAUGUUGAACUGAGCAUGCCCAGAAGUGUUAGCAUCUACCUUUCUUUUUCUUGAACAUGUACUCUAUGACCUCGAACUGAGCAUGCCCAGAAGCAUACUUUUCCACCAUCUUUCUUUUAUAGCCCUGUGAUGCUCAAUUUUAAGCCUCAAAAUUUGCUGACAUUGUUUCUGUUCUGAAUAUAUGAUCUCUAUGUGACCUUGAGUUGAGCUUGUUUAGAACUGUCCCUACCUCUACAUGGACUUUCUUGUAAAACUAUAUUUCAGGAUUCCUACACUCAAUCCCAAGGUUCCCUCUGCUGGGAAAAGCAUCGCUUGCAAAUUACCUUAGUAUUCUCUUUGCCUAAUGCAGUUUGUAAGUCUUCCUCUACUCUUUUAUCUCUUUUAUCUUUUGGCUUUGCAUUCACAAGAUUAAAAACCGGCUCUGGGCAGUGGCGACAAACACCUUUAAUCCCAGCACUCAGGAGGCAGAGGCAGGCGGGUCUCUGAGUCCAAGACAAAUCGGCUCUCUAGAGCAAGUACCAGGACAGCCAGUGUUACACAGAGGAAUCUUGUUUCAAAACAACAACAAAAAGAAAAAAAAAAAAAAAAAAGGAGGGGAGGUGGGAAGAGGAGGAGGAAGAUAAAAGAGGAGGAGGAAGAGGAGGAAAAAUCUUUGCAUUUGAUUACGAAUGAUUAAAAUAAAGUCAUAACUAGAAGAUAUCUGUUCACUUUUCAAAGGUAUCUGCUAUGGUAGUCAUUGUCCUUAUGCCUAAAAUAUUCCAAAUCCCUAUAUGUGUUUCUCCACAAAAGUUCUGAAGACCAUACCUCAGAAGUACCUCUUUCAAAAGGAAGAUCGAAUCUCAGCAGGUGCUUCUGGUGAGCCUGGAGGUAGAGCUCUUGCACUUUGGGUAUGAAUAGGCCUUCACCUUGUAUGGAAACCACCAGUCAUUCUCCCCCCAGACGUGAUGUCUUCUUACUGUUGUUGUUGGUAUUAGCACCACUUUUUAGUCCUGAGGCCAGUGCUGACCAUGGUUAUGAGGCCAGCCACAUUUCCCUUCUCUUAGCAGACAUCAACUGCCAGUAACUCUGGCUUAGGGAAUGGGCUUGGUAUCAUAGUUUCAAAGUUUCUAAAUUACCUUAAGUUAAAGCCAAAGUUGAGGUACAUUGCUGGUAAGUGUUCAAUUGUUGCUGCUGCUUUCGAGAUAGGGUCUCCCUUGUGUAGUACACGGCUGGUCUAGAGCUCAGGGCCUUCUUCCUUAGCCUAGUGAAUGCUGGGAUUCUAUAGGUGGGUCUCACUAUAUCGAGUUUAUAACAUUCAGAUACAUUAAUAGCAAGCACCAUAGCCACCAAAUGCCAAGACUGUUUGGCUAAAGUUGAGUACUUUAUGAGAAGAUUAUUAUGAUGAUUAUGAUGAUUAUUAAUUACUGUUAUUGGUAGUGAUGUUGGUACCGGGUAUGGAACCCAACACAGUAGAUGUGUGAGGUAGACACUGUACCACUGAACUAUAUCCCUAGCCUUAGACAGUCCUUGGAAUUGGAUCUGGGCAUUUGACUACACCAUAUAGUUUAAUAUCACAACAGGAAUUCUAGGAUUCAGUGUCCCAAAAGACAGAAUAUUUUUCCAUCCCAUGUUGGUGAAAGAGCAGCAAUAGGGCCCAAACUCACAUUUUAAUCGACUCAAAAGCAAACACAAGUAGAAUGUAUUUUCUCCACUUGUCACAAAAUUUCUAACUUCAAAGCUUUAUGGGAAUCUAAAUCUUAAAAUCCAAUAUGUCUAACAAAGUCAGCAGGGGUGCUUAUACCAUUUGGUUCCGUCUCAUUGAUCUCUGGGACUUCCGUCUGGAGCAGAUCUAUGCUCCAGAUGCAGCUGACGCUGUGACGCCCCAUCUGGCUGGGGCUGUUUAUCUCCUUUAAUAAGCAAGGUUUAUAACCUUCACGGGAGCAAGUGACGACAGGACUGGCUCGACCUUUGAGGACAGUCUCUACCUCAGUUAAUGAGCCCAACAGAUUCACCAGUGAGGAAGGUCUCAGACCACCCACCCCACAGCAAACAUCGGGGGAGGGCAGUGGGAUGCCCUUCUGGCCUAGUGGCUGCUCUGUAACGAGCUCUGUGUCCAGUCGGUAGGUCCUGGUGUCUAGGAGGAAAAGAGUUAAUGAAAAUAGGCCGGCAACUCCUUGGAAAGUCUGAGACAUAGACAUAUGCACGUUAUUUUGUUCGAAUGAGGGACAAGAAGGCAAAAAGAGCAAAAGAAACUCUGAAUUUCAGAAGGCAUUUGUUUAAAUGGGGUCCUCCUAGUGUCUUCCCCUUGACCUUGUCUCGCAGACAGGGAGAUUGCAGUUGCACACACUGUGGAAGCUUUCAGAGGGGGCCAAAGAGCAGGAAUUCAAUGUGAUCAUUGCUAACAUCCAUUUACAACCAAAUCCCUCCCUCCGCCCCUGGGGAGAGUAAUUAGAUUUAAUGGGCAUAGAGCUUUGGAGUGAAAGUGCAUGGGAUUUGAUUUACUUAACUUAAUUAGACCUAUACUUUGGGUUAUCUCAUUCAAAUGUGUUUCCAUUUCAGCUUUGACUCCUGGCCUUAUGCCACAGACCAAGUUCCCCGACCAUGAAGCAACGAAGAGCCCCUCACUCUUCACAGUCCUCCACAGUAGCCAGGGUCCACUGUCUCAGGUCCUCCCAACCUGAUGUCGCAUGGUGGCUUUAUAUAGCAUGAGCAUCCCUCGGGACUUUUUGUUUUUGUUUGUUUUUCUUUGUCAGGGUUUCUCUGUUUUCCCACGGCUGUUCUGGAACUCUGUAGAUCGGGCUAGCCUCAAACUCACAGAGAUCUGCCUAGGUUGCCACUGCCUGGGGCUCUCCCCAACAGUAGUUAGUGCCUAGCCUCCUCCUUCAGAGCCUCUGUUGAUGAUGCCAUGGAAUGUGACUUUCAAGGACAUCCAGUGUCCCUCCCAAGGGCAAAGGCCUUUGGGACUCUUGACAGCACAUGAGGCAAGAACCAAAUGUUUUCAUGACAGGAUGAAAAUCAGUUCUGCACAGCCAAGCAGGGUACAUUUUUUUUUUUUAAACAAAGGGAGACGGCUAUUCAAGCUCACGAUUAGCUCACACAGUGGCUUCCAUCCACCUUUCACAGGCUGACUUUGCUUUGGUGUUUCUCUCCACUGAACAUUGCAUGUAGUGGCAAGGGAAGGCUGACAGAAGGAAGAUGUCUGCUAUGGGCAACUAAAUAGGACUGAAGAAGAAAGAUCAUUUGAAAGACACCAUUGAGGAGUCGAUGCAUGAAUACUUUUAUGAAUUUAUUGACAUCUCAUUAUUAUUCAUCCUAAGCUUCCCUUGUAGGAAAACUAGAGCGUGUUUAUCUACAAAAUAAAGCAUAAUCCUUUCGGAUCACCACUUUAUAUUUGCAAGGAUUAAGCAGAACAAUGUAAUGUAUCUAGAAGUUUUAACGCAUUCCACACAGUAGUCAUCAACCCCAUUAUUAUCAAGUGGAGUCAGUAGUUAUUGCUACUCUUACGUGCAUAUACUCCAAGAAUCUGGCACUAGGCGUUUUUAGUGGAAUAUGCUACAUUUGGUUUAAUUUUCAACUGUGUGGUGUGUGUGUGUGUGUGUGUGUGUGUGUGUGUGUGUGUGUGUGUGUGAUUCUACCAUGUCUCACUGGGAUCAGACUCAGGUCUCCCAGCAGUAAGUGCCCUUACUUGCUGAGUUGCUCCACUGGCCCUUUAAUUUUUUAUUUUAUGAAACGAUUUCAGAAAGUUGCCUUUCUUCCAACACAAAGCAAUUGUUUUGCUUCACCUCCCCGAAGUGCUGGGACUCUAGACGUGCAGGGCCAUGUCUAGCAGUUUGAAUGCUUUCUAACAUCAAAGAAUUGCCGUAUCUUUCUGGAUAAGAUUAGAGAUUUAGUUGCUUCAAAGAUAUGACAAUCGUUGCAACACAUUCCAGACUGCAAACUGUGGUUGCUAGGGACUACAUAGAUAAGGGUAAAAAGUGGGCUGGUGACAAUUGUCAUUUUCUUUUCUAUUUUUGUCAUUUAGAGAGAAAAAUCAGUUUGGCAGAUGUUUGGGCCUAGGUCUGAAGUAUAAAAGCAACAUUCUAAAAAGGAAUUAGUUAGAGGAUGAUACCAACUUUGUUUGAUUGACUUCUGGAUGGAUUUGUUAUCCCAAAACUAUACUUUGCCAUUGUUCAGGGAAGCAUGGAUACAGAUUCUUUUUUUUUUUCUUUUUUCUUUUUUUUUUUUUAAAGAUUUAUUUAUUUAAUGUAUAUGAGUUCACUGUCACUGUCUUCAGACACACCAGAAGAGGGCAUUAGAUCCCAUUACAGAUGGUUGUGAGCCACCAUGUAGUUGAUGGGAAUUGAACUCAGGACCUCUGGGAGAGCAGACCGUGCUCUUAACCGCUGAGCCAUCUCUCCAGCCCAUGGAUACAGAUUCUUGUUCUAAUACAACCAUAAUGGCAUCCUGCCGGGUGAAGCAGGAAGAUCACAGAUGACAAGUUCCAAGCCAGCUUGGGCUCCAUAGUAAGUUUGAGGCCACCCCUUAGAGAUGACAGCAAAAGGCCCCUCAUUCCUUCCUGACUACAAGACAGAGAUCUCAGUACGAUGCUUAAUUUUCCUACCACGUAUAACAUCCCAGGAGAAACCACUUUCAAAAGGAAAUCUUGGUUAAAACCUGGCACUUUUGGAACCUAGCUUUAAAGACACAAUAAAGUCGUUGGAGAAAGGUAAGGGCCUCUAUUGUAGGGUUUUAUUUGUAGGAUCAAUGCUAUGUAAGCACAUGCUAUACAAGGCUGAAAGUAGAAAAAAAAAUCUGGGACUAAAUAUACCAUACAUAAACAAGUUGGGAAAAAAGCUAACCUUAAUUGGGUGAGCGCUCACCCAGGUUGUUUCCCCGCAAUAGGGAAGUCGCAGGACCUUCUCAUUUCUACCGUUUAGGAGAAGUAAAUGUGUGUCAGUGUGUGGCGCAUUUAAUUCUCUUCUCAUCUCAGAUUUUCACCUUUAAGUAGAUUUAUGGAGGUUUGCAGACCCACAGCUCUUACAGUAGCUUCUAAUUUUCCUUGUUCUAGAAGGAUCUAAAAAAGUGCUACCAAGAGAGUAGACAUGCUAAUGACAUAAGUUGCUCAUGUGUGUACACACGCCAUUGUAGUCAUUUACAUUGACUGACACAAAUCUGUGUAAGUUCAUCUCUAAACAAUAACCAUAAUUUAAAAAAAAUGAGGGUUUCUGUCGUUUGUUUGACACUGAAGCAAAGUUCAGCCACGAGGCUGGGCUUUUGUCGUGGAGCAGAGGCCGAAUUCCAGAUCUGGCACCUUAGGUCCCUGUUCUCACAACUCCUGUAACUUGGGUUUUAUACCUUAAUGCUGGGACAGAACACAUUAGGCACUCCCCCUCCCAGUUUCAUGGAUUUGUUGAAGACAGGGGCUGUCUAACCAUUCAUGGCUCUGGUAAAUGGUCCAAGGGCCACAUCAAAGAAACAGAUUCCAGAUUUUGUGUGUCUGGGGUGAGAGGCGGGGCUUUAUCUUGGACCUUUCUGGGGCAAUCACAGUGGGCUUUCUUCCUCAGACACAGGAAACACGAGUCUCCUCUCUGAGAGAUAAGCACAGUUGCUCUAAUUGAGGCUAACCUGAAAUGUGUAGUAGGAGGCCAGCCUUGGCUGUAUAGUGAAAGUUGAAACUUUACACACAUGCACACACGCACAUAUAUUUAAAUUUUCUUUUCUUUUUAAAAAGCAGGCCAUGCUAUGACACAUGUACAUGCUGCCAGCACUGGGAGAAUCCAUGCCAAUUCCGGACCAGGCUGAUCUAUGUAACAAGUUCCAGGACAGCCAGGAUCACAUAAAAACCAUCUCUUCCUCACCCAUGGCACCCAAACGACACUAACAAAUUUGCUUCCUUGUUUAGAACCUUCAAUGCAUCCAAGGGUACUUGGUAUAAAGGCCAAAGGCUUCACCUGUCAGUAAGACCCCAAGUAAGGUGUCUCUUUGCCUUUCUCUGCCUGUGGAGCCCUCUCCCUCUUGUGAGCUCCAUCUCAAUUCACACAAGCUCUUCUUUAGUUCCUCAAACCAGACCAGCUCCUUGCUGCCACAGCGCCUUUGCCCUGCUGUCACUCCUUUCCAAAUCGCUACAGCCUGGUGCCAGCCCUUCUGCCGAAGUUGGCUGCACUUGUCUUGUCUCUGUUGAGAGGCGAAUUAUUUAGUUUGAACUGAAUGCCUAAAGGCCAGUAGACUCCUCCAGUUGGCCUUGGGCUGUCAAAGGUCUUACAGUCUUGCAGCCUAGACAAACACCCUUGUGUCAUCCCCCCUUGAUCCAGGAAUUUGGAAUUCAGUCCCUGGACUAAUUACUUCCUACUAGUGAAUGGGUGGUCUGCACAGAUGACACUUCCUGAAGGAAGCCCUCCUUUCAUCCCCCCCAACUCUUAGCUGCACCCCCUGCCCAUGCUCUCCCUAUAUUUACAACUACAAUUGCAAAUUGUACUCACUCCAUCAGCAGUGGGUGGGAGCUGCAUUCCCAGCUAGAAGGAACAAUACAAAAGGGUAACAACUGUGAUCUGGUGCUCUGCACACAGAAGGUGCUCAAUGGUUGCACUGGCAGAUGAUAAAAGGACAGAUAGCACUAACCACUGAACCCUGUAAAUCAUUCUGUGAAAGUGCUAAAUGAGGAUUAUGGAAAAUGUUUUCCUAGGCUUGGUAGAGUCUAGCCCUCCCUUCCAGCAGACACAGGGCAAUGCAGUGACUCUGCUUUUACAAAGACUCUGCUUUUGUACUGCUGAAUAGAGUCCCAUAGGACAGAAGGAAUGGGGAAGGGCAGGGUCCUACACUCCCCAUGCUUGUUGAAACCAGAGCAGCUCUGCCCCCCCCCCCCCCCCCCCCCGCCCUCCUUGGAACAGGGCCUUACUUUCUAUUCUCUGGAAUUCACUACUGCAACCAGGCUGCUCUCGAAUCCAUAGCAAGCCUCCUGUCCCAGUGGCCAAGCACUGGAAUUGUAGGAGAAAGCUACCACACCCUGAAUCUUCCCUCGUUAAUAAUUGGCUUUUGUACAAAAUCAUCGGAACAAAGCUUCCUCUUGCUGAAGCAUGCUUGCCUUAUUGAUUUCAGGAUCUCUAGUCCCUGGUUUUGCACUUAGCUCUGCGUGUGUGAUCAAUAAGUGUUUGCGGGAGAAUGCCUUUGUGUUGUAGUCUACUUGUAAGUGAACACAUGUUCAAAGAUGAGCUGUCGGCAGCCCAGGAUCGCCUCCAACUUGCCGUGUAGCAUAGGCUGCCCUGAGCUUCGGAUCCCCUUCCCCUACUCCCUGGUACUAGGAUUACAGGUGUGAGCCUCGACCUGGCUCCCAUUUAGUUUUUCUAAUUUUAUAAAUUUUAUAAUUGGGUUAGAAAAAAAUCUAAACUAGGCAUAUUUGCCUUAGGUACUAAAACCCUCGUUGUAUCUUGUCAGCUUUUUAUGGUAUGUUGUGCAUAUCCUUACCCUCUGAACAAUGAUGCAGCUGCUUAGUUAUUAUUAUUUUUCCUUAGCUAUACUUCUUUCUGUUCAUUAACAAAUCUGCUCUACAAAAGAAACAAAGGCAAUAAGAGUAUAAUGAGAUGGGACUACUUCGAUUUGCUUAAUUUUCUAUCUUAUGUAUUAUUUACUCAACCACAAAACUAUGCUUCUAAAUCUCUCACGUCUCCUAAAUAGCAGGUACUGUUACUUCUAUUGCAAUGAAUUUAUUAAUGACUUAUCAUAUACAUAGCAUUAUGAAUGGGGUUUGGAAUUGCACACUGAGUAGAGGACUUUUUGGAAGAGCACGCUUUAAUUUUUGGAGUAAUUUUGAAAAAAACUAGCUACUUAAAUCUUAAGUUGCCAUAUCAUAAAAAUCAAAAUAUUAAAGAGUUGCAAAGAAUCUAAAUUCUACCAUUUGUGACUGGAUAGCAAAGCAAUGUGUGGUGGUCAGUGGAACACUGUCCCUAACAGCCCCACCUAAUGAGCAUUUAUUAAUAUCCCUAUUUGAUUAAAAUGUAAUGAAUUUUUUUCUCUAAAAAACCAGAGCUGACAGAGGGGUGCUGACAUCCUGCCACACAGCACCCUUUGCAAGUAGCUGAGUCAUUUAAGGAACUUGUUCUGCCUCAGAGUGUGGGUUCCACAUCUCGGGGGUUUCCUGUACAAGCUGGAUAAGUUAGAGAGGAACUCCAAAUGUGAAACCUGAGAAUCUCAAGGAGAAAACCCCAAAUUCACGAUUCUCCAAUGAAGCAAGCUGUAGUUUGGGGUGCACCUAGGAAUGGCCUGCCAACUGACUCACCUUCGGUCAGGAUUUGAGAGAGCAGCCCCUGCUGGUCUCUUGAAGCCCCUCCAACAAGGGACAUAAAGUGUUCUCCGGGCGGGGCGAGAGUGGCUGUUUUGCGUUGUUAGAAAGACACACUGAAAGGGAAGGAAUGGGUAAGGAUUACAUCAUGUGAUGGGGUUGCAGGAAGUUUACAUCAGAUCUAAGAAACAGGAACUGAUUCUUAAUUUCAAAUAGAAACUUAACCUUGCAAGAACUUAACCUGGGACAAAAAAGAAGAAGAAGAAGAAGAAAAAAAAAACGUACUUUUUAACUAGGAUUUAACACAACAAACAGGAACUUCUCUUAAUUACAAAUAGAAACCUUAACUUAAGAAGGGCAAACAGGAACUUCCUCUUGACUGUCUUAGAUGUAAACAGAACCCUUAACCCGCUUGGUAUUUUGUUCCUACAGUAUUCUUCUGUUCCAACCUCUUACUCUCCAGGAGAAACAACAGAGACCCAGGGAGGCCUGCACCUGCGGAGUUGAGCUUCAAGGAAGAUGCGUACUAGAGGAGUCACACUCGACUUCGUCAAUAUUUCACAAGAAAGCUAGCAGUUCCCAGACCAGCGCAUGCUCAGCAAAGCACCGAGUCGCAGUAGCACGCAGAAAAUGGGACUGUCAAGACAACCAGUCCUGAGCUAUGCAACAGGCCCAGAAGGGCUGCUGGGGGCACAGAUGUUGACAUUUUCACCUAAGUGUCAUCCAAGACAGAGUUACAGUCCCUUCUGCUCCUUGCCUCUGCCUUACGUCUCACCCAUGUUUCUGAAACUCUCCUGCCUGUAUCUCAAAAAGUGUACACCUUAAAAACAGAGGUGGUUGCUUUCUUUACCCAGGUUUAAGCUAACUACCUAUACUCGCUUCCACAUACACCUUCCUUACAGUUAGACUACCACUGUCCAAGUCAGUCUGACUCUGAGGAAUGCUAGAGGUUAGUUGUAAAUGCUAUGGAGUCUUCCUGUGAGAACGUCACUCCCAAGUAGAUAUUUACAGCUCUCUUAUCCAUACGAGCAUGCUUCAGACAUGCUGGGGUCACAAGUGUGAGCGACAACAUCCGGCCUACACUUAUUCAUCUACUUUAAGGGUUUAUUCAGUUUUGUGUAUACAUGUGAAUGCCUGCAUGUGCGUUUAUGUGCACUGUGUUUACGCUUAGGGUCCCAGAAAACCAGAAGAGAGUGUUGAACUCUCUGGAACUGGAGUCACAGGCUGUUGUCACUGUAUGGACGUUGGGCACUGAACCUCGUUCCUCUGCAAGAGCAGCAUGAGUUCUUAACGGCUGAGGUAUCACUCCUGCCUCAGUCCACACUUUUCUAUUGUGGAUUACUCUUCUCUGUCUAAACCAUCACGGUUCAUCUACUGACACCCUUCCUUGUCCUUCAUUGAUGUUCUUCUUCCUAGAGUGCCCGGCAUCAUGUCAGGCACACGUGUUCUCAGUAGAUCAUAAAUGUUUUGUGAGGAAGUGCACACAUGCAUGUGAACACAUGCCGGGCACAGGCAACUUCAAAACCCAGAGUGUGUCAGACUGACCUUGGAUGGGCACGGGAAGUGAGGUGUGUCGGGGGACCAUCUGUUUGCUCCACCUGUCAAGCUGCCUCUGAGGAGGCUCAUACAGCAGUGUGUGCCUCUUUACCACAUUUUUCUAUCAGCAACAUUAAGAAGUUCAAACUGAAGGACACUUCAGGUCCCUUCCAGCCCCAGUCCCUAAACUCUACCACAUAUAACAGUAAUUCCGAAACAAAAUAUAGCAGGCAUAUCAGCCUUGUCUUUGCAAAAGGAAUACACCAAACUGUCAUCCACAGGGUUUGUUAUCCUGUUAGGAUGGCAUUGACAAUGCUGUACAAUACAGUGAGAAGUCUUCUGUGAUGUUAGCUUGGUUAGCCACAGGGGCAGAAUGUUUUUCUAGUUCCCAAGCAAAUAGACAAACCAACAGACAAAAUCUUUAUUAACUCUUGUGAUCUGCAUGAGCUGCAUGAAUUGGAUCCUGGGAGCAUGAUAGUAUCAAGUAUCUGGUUGCUGCCCUUUAAUUAUGCAUGCAGACCUAUAGGCUUCACUCGCACCUGUAUAUGUGUAUGUGUAAGUGUGUUUAUGAAGGCAUGUGUGUGAUUGUGUAAGUGUAUGUAUGUGUGAGUAUAUUUGUGUGCAUACGUAUGAGUGUAUGUGUAAAUUUGUGAGUCUAUGUGUAUGUGAAUGUAUGUGAGUAUAUGUGUAUGAGUGUGUGUUUCAGUGUGUGUGUAUGUGUGUAUGUGAGUGUGUAAGUGUAUUGUGUGAGUAUGAGUGUAUGUAAGUAUGUGAGUGUAUAUUGUAUGACUGUGUAAGUGUAUUGUGAGUGUGUAUGAGUGUGUAAGUGUAUUGUGAGUGUGUAUGAGUGUGUAAGUGUAUUGUAUGUGUGUACGAGUGUAUAUACAAGUGUAUGUAUAUGUGUGUGUAUGUAUGUGUGUAUGAGUGUGACUGUAAGUAUAUUGUGUGUGUGUAUGAGUGUGACUGUAAGUAUAUUGUGUGAGUAUGUGUAUGAGUGUGUAAGUGUAUUGUAUGAGUGUAUAUGAGUGUCUGUGUAUGUGUGUGUGAGAAUAUGUGAGUGUAUAUGAGUGUGAGUGUAGGUACAUUGCAUGAGUGUGUGUAUGAGUGUAUGAGUAUGUAUGUGUGUGUGUGUGUGGUAUAACAGACAGUUAAAUAAAGCAUAGGUUAGUGGGACAACAAAAAGUUUUAUGGACUCUGUUCUUGUUUUGUUUCUCCAAAGCCCAGUUAGCUGUCAUUGGAAUGUUAUUUGAAAAUUAUUACACAGGGACAGAAAUGGCAGGUCAGGCUCUUUAAUUUGUGUCAGUGGUCUGGGUCACUGCACACAGAAGAGGAAAUAGAAUUUAUUGAGGAAUUCUGCUUGUCCAUGGCUUCAUGUUCUGAGGUUUACCUUCUCCCAGAUGAUGGUGUUUUGCUAUUGGAUUUGAUUUUGAUUUCUUUUUUUUUCCCUUUAUGCCUUUAACUUUGGAGUGAUUUUUCAAUAAAUGAAGUUUUAGGUUAUGUACUUAAUACUUAAGAAUCCAAAUUUCUAUGCUUUUUUUAUAGCAGGUAAAUAUUUCCAAGUAUUCCUCUUGAAAAGCAGCCCUGCUGUUAACAGAUACAAACGUGAAAUAAUCAAUUGAGAGCAUGCACAGAUUAAUUGUUGCUUUAAAAACAUCUGGAAAAGCUACUUUGAGUUCAGCAUUUAGGAUCAGUGUAUUAACACAUUUUAUAAACUGAUGUUUUUCAACUCUCUUUGACCAUACCUGCUCUCAUAGUAACCCAUGUUCUGUGGCUCUGAACAAAUUUUACUGAAAUUAUUUUUCUUACAGUGAAUGAAAAACUCAUUUUUUUCCUAAAAAGUAUCUGUUAUUUGGUAUGGUGGCACACAGCUGUAAUUCUGAUGCUUGGGAUUAAGAAGCAGGAAGAUCCUAAGUUUGAGGCCAGCCUGUGCUGUAGUAAAUUCCAGGCCAGCGUGGGUGAUAGGAUGAGACCUUAUCUCACAUAACAGAAAUGAAGUCUGCUGUGAACUAAAUUGAUUCAGGACCCACUCAUAAGUGGUGACCUACAGUUUGAAAAGUUCUGUUUGAAGCCAACAAAAUCUACCAAGCACAUAUACAUGUGUCUGUCUGUGUGGUUGUUUGGCUUUGAAGAAGACAUGACAAAGGAGUGGCUCUCCUUUAUCUUUCUCUCACAAUGUCAAUGAAUGCUGAAGCCAGGAGCCACUGCAGUCCCCCAGGACACCAUCUCCCUCUUUAACCAGUGCCUUUCUCAAGGCCCCUGUGUUACCGCUGAGGGUGGGUGAAGCUGGUCUUAUCUGAGGAAAGGGGAACCCCCUCUUCACAUGGGUUCCCCCACAGUGGGCUCUGGGGACUGAAACAAAGUGGAAAGAAAAGCCUCCCUGUGUCUAGCUAGUUGGCUUAAGAUGGUGAACUGGGAGGAAGCUAUGUCACCUCUCAGUCCCAUUGCUGUCUGUCUGUUCGAUGAGGAUCCUGCUGAAGGCUCAGUCCCAGACUUGUUGUCCAUGGUUGGUUAUUGCUUUCCUGGGGUAGCCUCAGCUGUGUCAGAGAUGACAGACAAUACUCAGCGAUAGCUAGUAUUUUCUCUUCUUGAGCACAGAUGUAGUGAGACCAUCGUUCCUGGAAGGUACUGUAAUCAUGUGACUGAAGCCAUGGACAUGUGUGAGCUGAUGUGUGUUCCUUCCGUGCUUGGUCCACAACCUCCUCCCCCACCAUGGACCUUUUCCUACAUGUGCUGUGACUAAGCAGAAAGAACUCUGGUAGCUUUGAGGAGGGAGAAUCUCCCACCACUCAUAUUAUGAUAUAGUUUGAGAAUGGAAUUCCUCCCUCUCUCCCUCCCUCCCUCUCUUCCUCCCUUCCUUUCUCUCUAUCCCCUUCUCUCUCCUUCCUUUCUCUCUCCCUUCUUCCCUUCCUCCUUCCCUUCUUCCCUCCUGCCUUCCCUUUCUCCCUCCCUCCUUCCUUUCCUCCCUCCCUCCUUUUCUACUCCCUUUCUCCCUCCUUUCCUUUCUCCCUACCCCCUUCUCUCUCCUUCCUCUCUCUUUUAGAUGGGUUCUCUAUAUAUAAUUCUAUCGGGCCCAGAACCAUUGUGUAGACCAGGCUGGUCUUUAACUCACAGAUAUUCACCUGCCUCUGCAUCCUGGGAUGAAAGGCAUGUGCCAGGGCACCCGGGGGAAUUCUUUCUUUUUUAAUUUAAAAACAUUUUUUGACAGCUAUUCCCCAGGCACUUUCCCUGCUGUUCUACUGAACAGCAAUAGAAAUGAAAGCAGCUGGUCACCCUCACCGAAGCAGUGCAUAAUGAAAGGUGCUGCAUUUGUUCAAUGGGUUCUAUUCCACUGUAAAGGAAACAGGAUGGACAUUUUAGGUACGUGGAUAAGUGAGCCCACACAGACCCACAAACUCCACACGUUCUCUCUUAUUUGUGGAUCCCACGUCUAAAUCUUUAGAUGUGAGUAUCUAACCUGCAGGAGCCAGGAAAGCAGGAAGGGGCCACAAGAGGAGGAAGGGACCAUAAACAAUAGCUCUAAGGGGAAGACAGGAGACACAGGUGCUAUGAUGGAGAAAGGGGAAGGGAUAUAUGUGUAUGAUGAAGAGGAGGGGAAGGAGAGAUAAAUAGGACCAUGGACUAGAACUAAAUAGUCAAGCUAGAACAGAUCUGGAAAUGCCCUCAUACAGAACGAACAGCCUCUCACGGUAUCCGAAGGCUCCUGUAAUGCUCAUCUACAGCCCUUUUCGUCCUGUUCCACACUUGGAAAGAUGCUAUGUCAGCAGUGCGGGUCGUAGAUGCUGCCUGGAGAGGGGCAUAGUUACGAGGUAGCCAUAUUCUGAAGAGAUAGGAGAUACGGACACAUGAACUACAUUUUCCAGGUAUUUCUGCUGCAUAUGUUAAAAUACCUAACAGGGACUGACAUAACCAGGGAUCACUAAAAUAAUUAAAAUAACCCGAGAGCUGCCCUCCUUAGCUUAAGAGUGAAGCUGAAUCCAGACUAUACCACACCCUGGUGAGCUAUGUGCUCACCUCCAACCGAUUUUGCCAGUCAGAAGUAAACUGUAAGUCAACAGUAGAGUUACUUUUAUUUACUAUGUUUUAAUUACAACACUAAUUAAUUGAUUUUUUUGAAACUCUUUUAUUUAUGUGAAUGAGUGUCUGGCCUAUAUGCCUGAUACUGGCCCAUGAUGUUCAGAGAGGGUGUGAGACCUCCUGGAACUGAAGUCAUCAUGUAAAAAUCAAACCUGGGUCCGCUGGAACACCAGCCAGUGCUCUUUAAUGGCUGAGCCCCUUCUUAAAAGCAAAUGAGGCCAAUUCAAGUCUGACUGCCUGCCCUCCAGAGCCAGCUGCAUCUGGCCCAGAGAUGUGUUUGGUUUGGCUCUAAGAGUGUUUGAACAACAACCACCAAAAUUUGGGUUUGUUGAUACGGGCAGUUGCAUAUAAAAAUCUGGUUUUCUGGCAUCCAGAGAUUUGGUGGCCUAGGGAAAUAUUCUCACAAGGGAGGAUGCCUGGCUCCUGCCCUGUUUAGGUAGGUCAGGAACUGAUCAGGCCACUGUCCCCAACAGACCAUCUUCAGUCACGUGACGUUACUGAUCCAUCUGUGCUCCUGUGUUUACACUUGGAACAUGGAGAUGAGGUCAUUCAGGGGCCUACAAGCAUUUCUGCUGUUGUCACUUUAAAGAGAAUAGGUUUGCUAUGUAUCACUGUGUUACUUGAAUACUUAUAUGUCACUGUGCCUCCUUCCACCCAGUGAACUGGAAGCAUCAAGCAAACAUUAACCCUACUGUGGACCCCUUCCAACUAGGGUGUUACAUUAUGGGGUAAGCACAUGGCUAGAAGAGAGAGCCCCAAAGGUAACCUGGCAAAAUCAAGGCUCUCUGUGGUCCUCUGAUGGAGACUGAGCAAGUCAGUCAAGGGAGGAUGAAGGAGGAAACAAUGGGAGAGUGGAGGUCUGCAGGGGCCCUGGCUGUAGUCUCACACGAGGGAGGCGACGCUUUUCCGAGAAGACACAGCUUUGAGAUGAACCUUAGAGAAUAAGUAGCAGCUUAUGAGAUAAAGGAAGACUCUGCGAAGUCAGCAAGGACAAAAUGAGGGAAAGCUCGGCAUGUGAUUAAAAACAUGCCCCUGGCAUUAGGGAAGAAUGAUCUGGAAACAUCGUUUCUUCAACACAGGUAUCUUGCAAUAAAGGAACUUUCAGACCGGAUACGUAUUCCUUAAAGCCACUCAGAGUGACCCAGAACCCAUGAGAUAACCAGUGGGUCAAAUGACCUUGUCACUGAGCUUGGUGGCCUGAGUUUGAUCUCUGGAACACAUAUAAUGGAAAGAGAGUAAUAAUUCCUCUGAUUUUCGCAUGGGCACUGUGGCCCUUGUGCACACACACACACACACACACACACACACACACACACACACACACGUCCAAAGUAAAUAAUUAAAUAAAAUAAAGCGUGGCCUAUGGCUCACCAACAUCAGCAUCACUUGGGAGCUGUGGAAAUACAGAAUCUGGGUCCUGGGGGUGAGGUUUAGUUGAUGGAAUGCUUGGUUAUCAUCUACAAUGAAGCUACAUCCCCUAGCAAUGCAUACACUGGGCACAGUAACACACAUCAGCAAUCGGCACUGAGGAAAUGGAGACAGGAACAUCAGAAGUUCAAUGCCAUCCUCAGUUACAUGAGGACAGCUUGAUAUACCAGGGAGACUGCCUAUAAAAUAAUAAGAAAGAAAGAAAAAUGAAAUACAGAAUCACAGGAUCCAGGGAUGAAGCCCAGUGAGGUAGAGUGUGAGGCCUCGGGUUCCAUUGCAGAGAGUAACAAAAGGAGGGAGAGAGGGGAGGGAGGGAGGGAAAGAGGGAGAGGGAGAAGGAUAGGGAGAGGGAGAGGGAAGGAGGGAGAGGGAGAGGGACUGAAUACAACAUACCAGGGGUUCAUAUAACCAGUGAGAAGCAUGGCUUCUGCCAAUGAUGAGGUUGAGGCCAGAUAACACAAAAGCAAUUUCUUCCUUCCUACGUAUUUGCACAAACGAGACCACACUGAUACGAGACUAGAAAGUAACGAGAACAGUUCUUGACGUGUAUGGCGGUUAGUGCUAGCUGCGAACUUGACAAAAUCUAGAAUUAACCUACCUAGGAGAUGGCCAGUGGGCAUGCUUGUGGGGGUAGUUAUCUUAAUUGCUUUGACGUUGGAAGACCCAACUUAAUUGUAGGUGGGAUCAUCCCAUAGGGAUUUUACACAGCUCCUAGGCUGUGUAAAAUGGAGAAAGCCAGCAGUACAUGUAUCUGUCCUUCUCUGUUUUCUGAUAGCAGGAUUGGUAUGAUUGGCAGCUUUAACCUCCCUCCACACUGGCUCUGAAUCGUCUGUCUUAGCUGUCUGAUGUCUGUAACUUGGAUGGUGAACCAGAAUAACCUCUUCUCCCUUAGGCUGCUUUUCUGAGAGUGCUAUCAUAACCACAGGAAAGGAAACUGAGAUGGGUGACCCAUUAUAAUCAUAUAAUUACUGUCAUUUUAUUUUCUAGACGAAAUUAUUGGUUUGCUAAAUAAACUGAGACUUGACUUGGUUUGCCUUUCAUUAAAACUUUUAGAUCAGAGCUAGGGAGAUGGCUCAGUAGCUAAGUGUGGUUGCCAAGCAAGUGUGAAGACCAAGGUUCAAAUCCCCAGUCUCCAUGUAAAGAGCUGGGUUUGGCUGCCUAUGUGUCUGUGACUCCAUUGCUUGGGGAAAGGAGGCAAUAGGUCCAGGUUCAGUAGCAGACCCUGUCUUAGGUGUGGAAGGUGGAAAGGGAUAUUCCAUGCUUCUUUGGUUUGCUCACACAUGUGUUUAUAUAUCAAAUACACACCCAUGCACUGGAUUUUCUAGUCAUAGGAAUAGUAGCUAUAAUAAAGAUACGUCUUGCAAAAAAUGGAACACAUUCUUGCUCUUUGAACUCACAAGCUAAUAAAAGUAACAAUUACCAAGUUACCAUUACAUUCACGAGUAUACUGAAUUUCUACUUCGUAACAGUAAUGUAAGACCUUCUGAUUUCUUUGUAACAUAGGUGACAAAUGGAUGUUUGUGAGAUAGGUACAAUUAUUGAGCACUUCUUUGCUUCUGUGUUAUUCAUUUUUCCUUCAAAUCAGGCAGCCUGAUUUACACUUUUACUUUUUGCACUUCU